Molecule: ribosomal RNA, 466 nt
Filed under: uncultured bacterium
Lineage: Bacteria
Description: partial 16S ribosomal RNA
Rfam family: Bacterial small subunit ribosomal RNA
Source: RNAcentral
GAUGAACGCUGGUGGCGUGCUUAACACAUGCAAGUCGAACGGAAAGGCUCCUGCUUGCAGGGGUACUCGAGUGGCGAACGGGUGAGUAACACGUGGGUGAUCUGCCCAGCACUUCGGGAUAAGCCUGGGAAACUGGGUCUAAUACCGGAUAGGACGAUGGUUUGGAUGCCAUUGUGGAAAGUUUUUUCGGUGUGGGAUGAGCUCGCGGCCUAUCAGCUUGUUGGUGGGGUAAUGGCCUACCAAGGCGUCGACGGGUAGCCGGCCUGAGAGGGUGUACGGCGACAUUGGGACUGAGAUACGGCCCAGACUCCUACGGGAGGCAGAAGUGGGGAAUAUUGCACAAUGGGCGCAAGCCUGAUGCAGCGACGCCGCGUGGGGGAUGACGGCCUUCGGGUUGUAAACUCCUUUCGCUAGGGACGAAGCGCAAGUGACGGUACCUGGAGAAGAAGCACCGGCUAACUACGUG